RNAcentral lists this ribosomal RNA (381 nucleotides) under uncultured eukaryote. RNAcentral's name for it is "partial 18S ribosomal RNA". It matches the Rfam family "Eukaryotic small subunit ribosomal RNA", at positions 592 to 976 of the family's 1831-position model. The record is from RNAcentral.
CAAUAGCGUAUAUUAAAGUUGUUGCGGUAAAAAAGCUCGUAGUUGGAUUUCUACCGAAGAUAGCCGGUCGGGUCUUCGACCUUGUAUCUGGUUUUGUCUUUGGUAUCCUCAUAGGGAACGUUUCUGCGCUUUAUUGCGUGGUGCGGUAUCUGUGACUUUUACUUUGAGGAAAUUAGAGUGUUCACGGCAGGCAAACGCCUUGAAUAUAUUAGCAUGGAAUAAUAACAUAGGAUCUUCGUCCUAUUUUGUUGGUUUCUAGGGCUAAGAUAAUGAUUAAUAGGGAUAAUUGGGGGCAUCUGUAUCAACGCGUCAGAGGUGGAAUUCUUGGAUUGCGUUGCGACAAACUACUGCGAAAGCAUUUGCCAAGGAUGUUUUCAUUGA